GAUGAACGCUGGCGGCGUGCCUAACACAUGCAAGUCGAGCGAAGCGCUUAAAUUAGAUUUCUUCGGAAUGACGAUUUUUGUGACUGAGCGGCGGACGGGUGAGUAACGCGUGGGUAACCUGCCUCAUACAGGGGGAUAACAGUUAGAAAUGACUGCUAAUACCGCAUAAGACCCCAGCUUCGCAUGAAGCGGUGGUAAAAACUCCGGUGGUAUGAGAUGGACCCGCGUCUGAUUAGCUAGUUGGUAAGGUAACGGCUUACCAAGGCGACGAUCAGUAGCCGACCUGAGAGGGUGACCGGCCACAUUGGGACUGGGACACGGCCCAGCCUCCUACGGGAGGCAGCAGUGGGGAAUAUUGCACAAUGGGGGAAACCCUGAUGCAGCGACGCCGCGUGAAGGAUGAAGUAUUUCGGUAUGUAAACUUCUAUCAGCAGGGAAGAAAGUGACGGUACCUGACUAAGAAGCCCCGGCUAACUCCG
This 479-nucleotide ribosomal RNA is filed under the name uncultured bacterium. RNAcentral's name for it is "partial 16S ribosomal RNA". It matches the Rfam family "Bacterial small subunit ribosomal RNA", at positions 28 to 505 of the family's 1533-position model. The record is from RNAcentral.